UAGGGAAUCUUCCACACUGGACGCAAGUCUGAUGGAGCAACGCCGCGUGAGUGAAGAAGGUUUUCGGAUCGUAAAGCUCUGUUGUUGGUGAAGAAGGAUAGAGGCAGUAACUGGUCUUUAUUUGACGGUAAUCAACCAGAAAGUCACGGCUAACUACGUGCCAGCAGCCGCGGUAAUACGUAGGUGGCAAGCGUUGUCCGGAUUUAUUGGGCGUAAAGCGAGCGCAGGCGGAAUGAUAAGUCUGAUGUGAAAGCCCACGGCUCAACCGUGGAACUGCAUCGGAAACUGUCAUUCUUGAGUGCAGAAGAGGAGAGUGGAAUUCCAUGUGUAGCGGUGGAAUGAGUAGAUAUAUGGAAGAACACCAGUGGCGAAGGCGGCUCUCUGGUCUGCAACUGACGCUGAGGCUCGAAAGCAGGGGUAGCGAACAGG
This 429-nucleotide ribosomal RNA is filed under the name bacterium. Its description in RNAcentral is "partial 16S ribosomal RNA". It matches the Rfam family "Bacterial small subunit ribosomal RNA", at positions 355 to 776 of the family's 1533-position model. The record is from RNAcentral.